UUAGCUAUUAUAUAGUACUCAGACAUCACUAAAAACAGAGUUUGUUUCCUCUGGCAGGCACGCAUCAGCCGGAGCCUCUGGUGUUUCCACGGCCUGCCAAAGCAACGAAGGUAUAAUAUUCAAGGGUGGGAGAUCUACCCGUGAGGGCAUGAACUCUGUAAUGAUCCUUCCGCAGGUUCACCUACGGAAA
RNAcentral lists this unclassified non-coding RNA (190 nucleotides) under uncultured fungus. RNAcentral's name for it is "sequence contains ITS1, 5.8S rRNA gene". Lineage: Eukaryota; Fungi. The record is from RNAcentral.